AACGAACGCUGGCGGCAUGCCUAACACAUGCAAGUCGAACGAAGGCUUCGGCCUUAGUGGCGCACGGGUGCGUAACGCGUGGGAAUCUGCCCUUUGGUUCGGAAUAACAGCUGGACACGGCUGCUAAUACCGGAUGAUGACGAAAGUCCAAAGAUUUAUCGCCAGAGGAUGAGCCCGCGUUGGAUUAGGUAGUUGGUGGGGUAAAGGCCUACCAAGCCGUCGAUCCAUAGCUGGGUUGAGAGGAUGGUCAGCCACACUGGGACGGAGACACGGCCCAGACUCCUACGGGAGGCAGCAGUGGGGAAUAUUGGACAAUGGGGGGAAGCCUGAUCCAGCAAUGCCGCGUGAGUGAUGAAGGCCGGAGGGUUGUAAAGCUCUUUUACCCGGGAAGAUAAUGACGGUACCGAGAGAAUAAGCCCCGGCUAACUCCGUG
Molecule: ribosomal RNA, 433 nt
Filed under: uncultured bacterium
Lineage: Bacteria
Description: partial 16S ribosomal RNA
Rfam family: Bacterial small subunit ribosomal RNA
Source: RNAcentral